Molecule: transfer RNA, 72 nt
Filed under: Bacteriophage sp.
Also listed under: 1 other name
Description: tRNA-Leu
Rfam family: tRNA
About the family: Transfer RNA (tRNA) molecules are approximately 80 nucleotides in length.
Source: RNAcentral
AGGGCAUUAGCUCAGUUAGCUAGAGCACAGGUUUAAAUCCUAUUGUCAUUGGUGCAAAUCCAAUAUGCCCUC